GUGGCUGGGUGGUGGCUGGUGGUGGCCUCCGCCCCCGGGAAGGUGACAGGAGACGGCGAUGUCGCGGAGCAGUGAGGUCCUGGUGACCGCCGACUUGGAAAGUCCCCUGGGACACCGGCUGAGCAAGGCUUGUCUCCGUGGUCAUCAUCCCGGGUUCUUCCUCUGAUGCUUUGCUCUGUGGCCUUUACCCCAGACUAUUUUGCCACCUGACUGCAAGGAUCAGACACGAGGGGAAAGGACUCCCCAGGUCAGGUGACUGUGUCUGGCCACUGUUUCUGACUCAGCCUUCUCUCCAGGACAUUCAGGCAUCUCACUGAAGUCUGCCCAGCGCAGGGGGAAGAGGCCAUUAUUAUCCUAAAAUACGGAGCUUCACAAGCUGAUGUGCCUGUCUGCAAAGUCCCUAUGGAGACCAGGCGGACACACAUAAAUGGGCAAAUGGUUUUUAACCACAGGUGCUGACACUGAGUUUUCUGAGAGCAGUAGACACUCAGCUCCUACUUGGGGAUUUGUAGGAAGAAUUUCACGGAGCGUGCCCCAAAUUUUCUUUAAAAGCAAAAACGAAAAUAAAAAUCAAAACAGUGACAACAA
Molecule: non-coding RNA, 588 nt
Organism: Ictidomys tridecemlineatus (thirteen-lined ground squirrel)
Lineage: Eukaryota; Metazoa; Chordata; Mammalia; Rodentia; Sciuridae
Source: RefSeq, a predicted model, not a curated record